This is a long non-coding RNA of Oncorhynchus tshawytscha (Chinook salmon), 2420 nucleotides long. NCBI's taxonomy places the organism in Eukaryota, Metazoa, Chordata, Actinopteri, Salmoniformes, Salmonidae. The record is from Ensembl.
ACUGUCUCCUAACUACCAUAUUGGGACAGGCACCUGUCUCUGUAACAACUGUCUCCUAACUACCAUAUUGGGACAGGGCAUUCUCUGUAACAACUGUCUCCUAACUACCAUAUUGGGACAGGGCAAUUCUCUGUAACAACUGUCUCCUAACUACCAUAUUGGGACAGGGCAAUUCUCUGUAACAACUGUCUCCUAACUACCAUAUUGGGACAGGGCAAUUCUCUGUAACAACUGUCUCCUAAACACCAUAUUGGGACAGGGCAUUCUCUGUAACAACUGUCUCCUAACUACCAUAUUGGGACAGGCACCUGUCUCUGUAACAACUGUCUCCUAACUACCAUAUUGGGACAGGGCCAUUCUCUGUAACAACUGUCUCCUAACUACCAUAUUGGGACAGGCAUCUGUCUCUGUAACAACUGUCUCCUAACUACCAUAUUGGGACAGGCACCUGUCUCUGUAACAACUGUCUCCUAACUACCAUAUUGGGACAGGGCCGUUCUCUGUAACAACUGUCUCCUAACUACCAUAUUGGGACAGGGCCUUUCUCUGUAACAACUGUCUCCUAACUACCAUAUUGGGACAGGGCCAUUCUCUGUAACAACUGUCUCCUAAGUACCAUAUUGGGACAGGGAAAUUCUCUGUAGCAACUGUCUCCUAACUAGCAUGUUGGGACAGGCACCUGUCUCUGUAACAACUGUCUCCUAACUACCAUAUUGGGACAGGCAUCUGUCUCUGUAACAACUGUCUCCUAACUACCAUAUUGGGACAGGCACAUGUCUCUGUAACAACUGUCUCCUAACUACCAUAUUGGGACAGGGCCGUUCUCUGUAACAACUGUCUCCUAACUACCAUAUUGGGACAGGCGCCUGUCUCUGUAACAACUGUCUCCUAUGUACUAGGCUAGCAUAUUGCUCCACACAUACUGGUAUUUGUUCUGAAUGGACCCCUGUUCCCUAAAUAGUGCACUACUUUCGACCAGAACCCUAUGGGCUCUGGUCAAAAGUAGUGCACUCUAAAGGGAAUAGGGUGCCAUUUGGGACAAACGCACAACACUCUGCACUCACCUCCCCCACCCUCCCCCUCUCCUACCCCCCUUGGCGUGUGUCGUCAUCCCCCCGGUGGACCAAGCUUGAGGAAGCUACAGAAGGUCUUGAUGUUAUUGUUUCCAGUGUGGUGUGUUCUUCCUGUCCUUGUGUUAAUACAUACACUCAACUGUACACUUCUGUCUUGACACUAGUUCCAUUCAGAUGAAUAAUAAUAAUAAUAAUAAUAAGGCACAUAGCAGAUACUUCUUUCCAACGCGACGGUCAGGGGUUCUGUUGUCUGGGUGUGCCCAGCGGGAAUUGAACCUCUCGUGUCGUGAUGCUCUUAUCAACUGAGCGUCGUGGAACCAGUUCAUGUUCUGUCUUCUUAAUGACCUGCAUUCCUUCUGUCAAAUCCAGCCUCGUAGUUUACUCAUUCUCACGUUAAACACAUCACAACUCAUUCCUUCUGUCAAAUCCAGCCUCGUAGUUUACUCAUUCUCACGUUAAACACAUCACAACUCAUUCCUUCUGUCAAAUCCAGCCUCGUAGUUUACUCAUUCUCACGUUAAACACAUCACAACUCAUUCCUUCUGUCAAAUCCAGCCUCGUAGUUUACUCAUUCUCACGUUAAACACAUCACAACUCAUUUAACAUCUUCUAUUAGAAAGGUGUCAUUACAUGCUCUGACUCCGUUGUCCAGGUUUGAAAAUAACAUUAUAUUGUCAUUAUUACUAUUAUUAUUAUAAUUACAUUGUCUUAACACUCUUCUCCUUUGAAUACAAUUCCAUAUUCUCUUCUACUCUUUAAUGUCGUGUUCCGUCGCCUAAUAUCAUAGGGCAGGUCCCAAAUGGCACCAUAUUCCCUACUUAGUGCACUACUUUUGACCCAGGCCUAUAGAGCUCUCUGGCCAAGAGUAGUGCACAAAGUAGGGCACAGUGUUCCAUUUGGGACGCAACCCGUGGACCGCUGUUUAUCCCCUCAUUCACAGUCUCCUCAAUGUAUUUCUAGGCCAUCCUCCUCUCAGCCGUGGACAGGCACAAUGCUGGUGUAUAUAUAUGUACUAUAUACAUACUGUUGCACUUUCUAGGAAAAUACAUAAGGCCUGUAGUCUUUUUAAACCAUAUGACUGGGAUCACACAAUUCUUAAUUCCCUGGUUUUACACAAAUCCUGGCUGGAAGAUUCCUGGGAAUAUGAGGGGAAUAAGCAGGAACUCCGGGACUCCUUCCACCAGGAUUUCUGGGAAAAGUGAUAAUUUGGGGAAAGUUGGGGACUGCAGCAGCCCUAUAGGAUCCUCAGCACUCCAAAGGGAGGUGUUUAAAGACCCUGUCUAAUACCACCACAUGAAAAGAAAAACAAUAAAACACAAAGUGUCAUAUUUUGCAACUUGAGUAUCA